Non-coding RNA from Cricetulus griseus (Chinese hamster), 1044 nucleotides. NCBI's taxonomy places the organism in Eukaryota, Metazoa, Chordata, Mammalia, Rodentia, Cricetidae. The record is from RefSeq and is a predicted model, not a curated record.
UUACCUCUUUUCUCUUUCCUUCCCCCUCUCUCCCCUAUCUAAUAAAACUUUUCACUUAAGCUCUGUCGGUCUGUCGUAUUUGUCCCCCUUGGUCACCCUCGCCUGCCUGGAAUCCGCCAUGGUCCCCUUCGCAGGCCCCCCUUCCAGCUUUAUCCUACCAUUUAAACAAAAGAACAACAAUGAGGUCUCUUCCUCUUGACAGGAAGGGCUCAUGAGGACUGAUGCUGGUGGUUCUCCAGUGGACCUGGUGAGGAGGAGGCUGUCUUAAGACAAAUGCCAGGAGACUAGACCUGAGCAAGCCCCUGCUUAGAGGUUGGAAGUCAAGAUGCUGGGCAAACAGGACGAAAGCAGACUGGGAGACCAUCCUCUGCAUGAAGGUGCAGGAUAUACAGGCUUCAACUGACUGCUUAGCAGACCCAGGAGUACCCCAACCCUGCUGAUCCUGGGAAAUGCUACAUCUGCCAAACUGCACCAAGUCCUAGGCUCUUGGGGCCAAUUCAGCUCUCAGGCAUAUCGUGCUGGUCAGAAACCACACAGUGGAGUUCAGAGAGGUUUGGUUCGACUGGCCCCAAACUGCACACCUAGUAGGGACAGAGCACAAACCAAAUACCAGUCCUGGCUUCAGCUGAGAAGUACCGCUGUCAAGGAUUGAACUUUCAGUAAGAGCUCUUCCAAGCAUGGCUGUGAUAACUCAUUCAACCCCCGAAGGCAUCCCACAGGAAAAUGGCCCAGCACACGGCAAUUCACAACCCUAUAUCCCCAGUCCCAGGACAGAGGAAAAAGGAGCCAUGCCCAGUGAUGCCUCUCACUCAGUUCCUAUUAACCAUGGACUCCCUACAAACACCCUGAGAGGUGAACUGACUCACUGAGGAAUACAGGAAGCAAUCACAACAUCAACUGGAUAAGCAGAUAGUGCUUCUCAUUGUCCUGGAGCUUUAAGAUUGGGCUCAGCUGACCAGCCAUCAAGUCUCAGGAAUCUGUCUGUUUCUGCCUCCCCAGGACUGGGAUGAUGAGCACUCAUCAUCAAUACCAGCAUUUUACAGU